This 58-nucleotide transfer RNA is filed under the name Dipodomys ordii (Ord's kangaroo rat). It matches the Rfam family "tRNA", at positions 8 to 63 of the family's 71-position model. Rfam says of the family: Transfer RNA (tRNA) molecules are approximately 80 nucleotides in length. Their secondary structure includes four short double-helical elements and three loops (D, anti-codon, and T loops). The record is from Rfam by way of RNAcentral. Lineage: Eukaryota; Metazoa; Chordata; Mammalia; Rodentia; Heteromyidae.
UGGUUCAGUGGUAGAGCGCUUGCCUUGCAUGCAUGAGGUCCUGGGUUCGAUUCCUCAG